AUUGAACGCUGGCGGCAUGCCUAACACAUGCCAGUCGAACGGAAGCACGGGUCUUUGUCCUUGGUGCCGAGUGGCGCACGGGUGAGUAACACAUGAGUACGCCUCCUAUUGGGGGGGAAAGCCCGGCGAAAGCCGGUUUUACACCAUACUCGCUGCUCGGGAGAGAGGGGGGGCUUUUGACCUCUCGCUCUCUGGGGAUCGUAGGUCGGAUUAGCUAGUUGGUGGGGUAAAGGCCUACCAAGGCGACGAUCUGUAACUGGUCUGAGAGGACGAUCAGUCACACUGGAACUGAGACACGGUCCAGACUCCUACGGGAGGCAGCAGUGGGGAAUGUUGGACAAUGGGCGAAAGCCUGAUCCAGCGAUGCCGCGUGUGUGAAGAAGGCCUUCGGGUUGUAAAGCACUUUUGGUGGGGAGGAAAGGCUGUAAGCUAAUACGUUGGGGGGAUGACGGUACCGGAAGAAUAAGCACCGGCUAACUACGUG
Molecule: ribosomal RNA, 484 nt
Filed under: uncultured bacterium
Lineage: Bacteria
Description: partial 16S ribosomal RNA
Rfam family: Bacterial small subunit ribosomal RNA
Source: RNAcentral